This 21-nucleotide microRNA is filed under the name Ananas comosus (pineapple). Its description in RNAcentral is "microRNA s0047_c034". The record is from RNAcentral. Lineage: Eukaryota; Viridiplantae; Streptophyta; Magnoliopsida; Poales; Bromeliaceae.
CGGACUUGAAUACGCGUAUUU